GACGAAGGGGGCUAGCGUUGUUCGGAAUUACUGGGCGUAAAGCGCGUGUAGGCGGUUAUCCAAGUCAGGUGUGAAAGCCUUGAGCUCAACUCAAGAAAUGCACUUGGUACUGGGUGACUAGAGGACCGGAGAGGAUAGUGGAAUUCCCAGUGUAGUGGUGAAAUACGUAGAGAUUGGGAAGAACACCAGUGGCGAAGGCGGCUAUCUGGACAGUGACUGACGCUGAGACGCGAAAGCGUGGGGAGCAAACAGG
This 253-nucleotide ribosomal RNA is filed under the name uncultured bacterium. RNAcentral describes it as "partial 16S ribosomal RNA". It matches the Rfam family "Bacterial small subunit ribosomal RNA", at positions 524 to 776 of the family's 1533-position model. The record is from RNAcentral.